GGGGUGGUGGUGUAGUUGGCUAGUACAUAGGUCUCAUAGCCUCUGAGUUAUCCUAAGGUUGAAAGUUCGAGCCUCUCUCACCCCA
This 85-nucleotide transfer RNA is filed under the name Ipomoea nil (Japanese morning glory). It matches the Rfam family "tRNA". Rfam says of the family: Transfer RNA (tRNA) molecules are approximately 80 nucleotides in length. Their secondary structure includes four short double-helical elements and three loops (D, anti-codon, and T loops). The record is from Rfam by way of RNAcentral. Lineage: Eukaryota; Viridiplantae; Streptophyta; Magnoliopsida; Solanales; Convolvulaceae.